UUUUUUUUUUUUUUUAAUUCUUCCCCUGAACUCCCUCUAAACAAAAGGUUAAGGAGAAAUUUUUAGCAUAUUUGAUUUCCUGACCUAAGGGAAGACAUUCUUUAUUUCAGAACUUUUGACCCCCGAAGAGCUGUUACUUUGCCUGAAAGUAUGAGGGAGACAGAAUAAAAACUGUGAGACAUUUGAAGUGAUUGUGGGUUUUGAGACUGCUUUCUUUUGUGAACUGUGCGUGUCACAUUGCAGGAAAAUACUAUGAAAAAAAAAAAACAAAAAACAAAAAACACCCAAGUUUCUCUCUGUUUGGAUGGAAAACUUUGCCUGCUUUGCAGAAGCUCUCGCAAAUUGUUGACUGGCUUAAACCCGAUCCCUCCAAAGGCCCCUCAGUCCCUAACAAAAGUGGUAAGUGGUAAGAUGCAGUUCCUAAUUUUUAUUUAAGUCAAAGGUUAAUAGUAAAAGGGGGGUUGGUCCUUCACUGUUGCAAGUUAAUGUUUAUUUUUUUACCCUCGUUUAAAGAAUUUCCUUAAGGCUCUUCUUUCCCUGCAGAAAGCAGGGUGAGGAACUCAGAUUUCAUGCCCCCAGGCUUGAAUAAAGGAAUAAAAACAGCACAACAUUUGCAUCUAUUUAACAAUCUCAGUUCUAAGAGCCCCCUCACAGUGAGAGGGGAGAAAAAAAACCCGUAUCUCGAGGUUAAACGAAGUUAUUCUGAAAUAUUUGCCAAAAACACAAUUCAGAGAAAGAUAAUCAUUGUCAGAAAUGACCUAGGAAUUCCAGGCCAGAUGACUAAAAACACAAAGCUUAGAGAAGGAUGCAUUCUCUUGCUUUCCAGCCGGCCCGGAUAUCAAUGAGCAUCAGCUAAAGGUGGCUGAAGAACCAAUUUCAUGCAUCUACUGUACGAGGAAAUGAACUGAGCCAAGGGCAAAAAUAAAAUUAUACAAAUGUUAUUAUAGACUAGCCUGCUUCUGUCCUAGUUUAAUUCAAAUUUUAGUGCUGCAGGCUUUGCUCCUGGCAGUAGCCUUCCUGAAUAAAUCAACAUUUGCUUACAUCUAAAUUAUUAGGGGAGCAUGUGACUUUGUUUAUUGUAUAAAUUAUCCGCAAGGUUAAAGCAUUAACUGUUCAACUGGUUUUGUUCAGUCACCUCACCAACUCUUUCCUCGAGUCAGCUCUCCCCCAAAUAGGAAAGAAAAAUCUCAAAAUUACUAUUUUUUUUUUUUUUUAAGACGAACCCAAGAAGAGUCGCUAAAGGUAGGGUGGGAGACAGUCUGAAGGGUUAACAAAGAGGAAGAAAGGAGCCUAAGAAAGAGCCCUGAUAAGGUGUCUGCACAAAGUGAAAUGGUGAUCUGGUCAAUAAUCAGUUAAGUUGAUUAAGGCAGCCAACCAAAUGGGAUAAUUUAACAUAAAACUGAAGACCCUUUUGGCUAGGGUUUCAGGAGGCAAGGAAUUGCAAACUAUACGGCAAUGUUGGACCCAAACUUUUUUUUUUUUUUUUUUUUGUCGUUUUAGGGCCACACCGCUGGCAUAGGGAGGUUACCAGGCUAGGCUUCAAAUCAGAGCUGUAGACACUGGCCUACACCAGAGCCAUAGCAACGGCAGAUCUGAUCUGUGUCUAUGAUCUACACCACAUCUCACCGAACCCACUGGUUGAGGCCAGGGAUGGAACCAGCGUCCUCAUGAAAGCUAGUCAGGUUCAUUUCUGCUGAGCCUUGACCGGAACUCCAACCCAAACAUUUAAAUUGCCUUUAGCAAUUAGAAAAGAAAGUUAAACACAGAGCUGGACAAUGCAUUUAAGAACAAUGGAAUUUGGGUUUGUUUUUUGUUUUUAUCUCUUCUCAUCACAUGAGUACUUCCUGAAAGCUCACUCAUACAUGUUUGGGAACAAAGAAUGGAACUUCAUUAUUAGACAGUUUGACUUUCUAAGUAUUUAGACAAACCAGAUGUCAGGUGCGUCCUGCUUUGCGAAUGUUCAAUUUAAAUGAAUAGCAAGGGUUCAAAGUAGACAAAUCAGAGGCAAUUAAUUGCUUUAUAAAAGGUUCUUCUUUCUAUAAGAUCAUCCACAGGAGGCUUCUUGUAAAUUUUGAUCUUUCCCACAGUAAGAAAUUAAUUUAUGAAACUGUAAAUUGAAUUCAGUUAAAAAGGUUAGAUCCAGUCUUUUCCAAGAAUAUGUGUGUGGGUGUGUUAUCUUUAUCAAAACUCCUUCUAGAAACACUGCAGGUCAGGUGAUUUUUGUUUAGAGUGAACUUCUGCAACAAAUGAUUCAAAUGUAAGGUGUGUUCAAGAGGAAAAUCAAUUUCCCAUUCAGCCCACUCCUGAUUCUUUCUAUUUGCAUUCUAAAUUGGGCUUUGCGAUGGUGGACAGUGGUUUUCCAGAUGUGAUCAGUGGCAGGCAUUCACAGAAUCAUCCAGGCCUGGAGCCCAAGUAUCUGCCCUGUUAACAAAGGUCCACAUAACUGGGAUACACAUACACCAACAUGUGAGAACUGCUUUUGUAGGAUCUAAAAAAGAAGCAAAUGAUGUUGCUCUAUCUACAUUUUAUUUCAUGUGCUUUGCCUCUUCUGUUCAUGGUAUUCUGGAGCUCAGCCUAUUCUAAAAGGGGCUCCUAGCUGUAAGGCCUUCCAACCCUGGCCCUGCUUUGUUUGGUCAAGGGUAUUUUUGAAGUAUGCUUAGUCAUUCCUCUGGUAGACCCUGAUUUGUUUUGAGACAGUGAGCCUAUGAAAAAGCAUCACACAUAACUAUAAUUUUAUCUGAAAAAAAUUUAUCAGGUGUACAACUAAAUUGCUUUCCACCCAAUCGGUUUUUGUUUUUUGUUUUUUGUUUUUUUGUCUUUUUGCCUUUUCAAGGGCUGCUUCCGCGGCAUAUGGAGAUUCCCAGGCUAGGGGUCUAAUAGGAGCUGUAGCCACCGGCCUACUCCAGAGCCACAGCAACGCGGGAUUCCAGCCGCAUCUGCAACCCACACCACAGCACACGGCAACGCCGGAUCCUUAACCCACUGAGCAAGGCCAGGGAUCGAACUCGCAACCUCAUGGUUCCUAGUCGGAUUCGUUAACCACUGCACCACGACAGGAACUCCCCCAAUAGGUAUUUUUAAGAAGUAAC
This 3089-nucleotide long non-coding RNA is filed under the name Sus scrofa (pig). RNAcentral describes it as "lncRNA (ENSSSCG00000061859.1)". The record is from RNAcentral. Lineage: Eukaryota; Metazoa; Chordata; Mammalia; Artiodactyla; Suidae.